GUUACUAGUAAUCGCAGAUCAGAAUGCUGCGGUGAAUGCGUUCCCGGGUCUUGUACACACCGCCCGUCACACCACGGGAGUUGGAGACGCCCGAAGCCGAUUAUCUAACCUUUUGGAAGAAGUCGUCGAAGGUGGAAUCAAUAACUGGGGUGAAGUCGUAACAAGGUAGCCGUAUCGGAAGGUGCGGCUGGAUCACCUCCUUUCUAAGGAGA
RNAcentral lists this ribosomal RNA (212 nucleotides) under Clostridioides difficile. Its description in RNAcentral is "partial 16S ribosomal RNA". It matches the Rfam family "Bacterial small subunit ribosomal RNA", at positions 1331 to 1533 of the family's 1533-position model. Lineage: Bacteria; Bacillati; Bacillota; Clostridia; Peptostreptococcales; Peptostreptococcaceae. The record is from RNAcentral.